GCCCGCUAACAAUUUUAAACCCGCCACAUCAUUUAUGUAUGUGCCUGUCCCAAGUCAUGAGCCUGCAAUUCAGUAGUUGUCGUUUGUUUAUGUGUUACAUAUUUAUUUUUCGUUCAUUUUUUUUUUGUUAUAUAAAUAAGGCGGUUAGUUUUCUUGUUUGAAUUGUUUUACAUUGUCAUAUCGGGGCCUUUUAUAGCUGACCAUGCGGAUUUGGCAUUGCUCAUUGUUGAAGGCCGUACGGUGACCUAUAUUUGUUAAUGUCUCUGUCAUUUUGGUCUCUUG
Molecule: long non-coding RNA, 282 nt
Filed under: Mytilus galloprovincialis (Mediterranean mussel)
Lineage: Eukaryota; Metazoa; Mollusca; Bivalvia; Mytilida; Mytilidae
Source: RNAcentral